GUAAACGUUGCGUGGGCGAGAGGGGGAAACCGCGUCGGGCUCGCCUCGGGAUGAGGAUCGGCUUUCUGAGAGCACAGUCCGAGCAGGGAACGCGGGACAGCGCUCGGUGAAUCCGACAUGGAGUCCCCGCCUCUGCACCUGAGAGGAGAUUUGCGCACCGAUUUCCUGAUGGCGUCCCAGCGCAGGACCUGUUCACAGCAGCUCAUACAUACGGAUGAACAGGGACCAAGGGAGGGAGCGCCGUGGAGCGUCAGGAUAACACGUUCUUAAGUUUGCUCUGCAUCAGACGUGUUGGAGGCUGGCUAGAGAGAGAAAGAGGAAGAGACAAGAGUAAAAGAGAGAAGAAAGAAAACACACAAGGUCCCGGCGCCUUUAACGGGACGCCGCAGGGAAAAACAGCUGACAGUCCCUGGAAUGCUCCUGGACAUGUGAGGUUAACUGGGCUUUAACCUCAGCACCGUGGGAGGGCAGCGCUGCUGUAACACUGUAGACCCACAGCUGGACGCUCAUCGGAGGCUCACAUUGGACAACGACUCUAAGACUCAGCAAUCACAGAUCCGUCAUUUGAAUGUUGAUGUCAUGAACAGCCUUCAAACCGCACCCCGUGAAGUUCCCUCCAAAUUUCGAAGAAGCGCUCUCAGCAGAUAAG
This is a long non-coding RNA of Betta splendens (Siamese fighting fish), 649 nucleotides long. RefSeq lists it as uncharacterized. Lineage: Eukaryota; Metazoa; Chordata; Actinopteri; Anabantiformes; Osphronemidae. The transcript is spliced from 5 exons. The record is from RefSeq and is a predicted model, not a curated record.